AAAGGUUACUAUAACGUGAGCUUAAAUCCAUUGUCAGUUAACACAGUCCAUCGCUACACCUACAAGGUAAAACUCUACCAUGCAAAGUGAUAGACAUCUAUCAACUACACCCAGUAAUGCCACU
This is a long non-coding RNA of Etheostoma spectabile (orangethroat darter), 124 nucleotides long. RefSeq lists it as uncharacterized. The transcript is spliced from 3 exons. NCBI's taxonomy places the organism in Eukaryota, Metazoa, Chordata, Actinopteri, Perciformes, Percidae. The record is from RefSeq and is a predicted model, not a curated record.